CUAUCUCCCCCUCCCCCCUCUCUCUCUCUCUUCUCUCUCUCUCUCCCCUCUCUCUCCCCCCCCUCUCUCUCCUCUCCCCCCCCCCCCCCCCCUCCCCCUCUCUCUGACAGAAAGCAGCCGUGCUGAAGAGACUGCAGGACAGCCGGCCUGCGGGGCAGGUGGAGGGUGGGGUGGGGGGGUUCAGCCCCCAUCAGCCAUGUGAGGCGGCAUCUCUGACGGACCCCCCCCCACCCUGUCCCCCCCUCUCCCCCCCCACUGGGACCGCAGAGACAAACAGCACCGCAGCCGAGUCCCCGACCAGCAGAGAGAUGCCUUCAGCAACAGCUGGCAGGGCAAACACCCCGUCGACCUCCGACACACUGGCAAAGACGAAGGCCACGGCGGAAACCGCCGCCCCAGUGACGGAGCCCCUCCCGCCAAAAAAGGCCAUCACAGCCAAGAAAGACGCCGUUAAGAAACGCUCUCUGUCAAGGACAAAGAAAGGCUCUGGUGCUAAGAAGUGUGUGGGAACACGGCUGAAGGUGAAGCUUCCUCCACUCACAGCAAAGAAGAUGUCUGAAGCCAAGGAAUGUUCCGGUUCUCGCUGUGCCCUAAAUCCCGGCGCUCCGGCCGUGCAGGCGUCUGUCCCUGACACGCAGGGCAGAGCUGGCAGCGGGAAACGGCAGCGGGAGCAAGACGUGUCGGACCUGAAGGAGAACGUGCCGCACUCCACAACCGCUCCUCCCAGCCCCACAGCCUCUAAGAAGAGACGCGGUGAGGAGAGACGUGUCCCAUCACAGCCCGAGAGGCCAGAAGAGAGGGGGAUGAGGAGAAGAGAGGGGGAUGAGGGUGGACGGAGAGAGCGCGCGGGCAGGAGGCUCCGGAGAGCUUCACAGACGCCGAGGAUGGAGGAGCAGGGAGGGAGGGAGGUGGAGGAGGAGGAGGAGGAUGGAGACAAGAAAGAGGUGGAGCAGAAAGACGAGGGACUGGCGGAGGAGGAGGAGGAGGAGAAGGAGGAGGGACACAUGCACCAGCAGGCGGAGGAGAAAACCAGCGAGGACCUGAAGAGGGAGCAGGUAGCAGCCAUCACGCGCCAGCAGAGGGCGCCACUCCUGGACAGCCUGAAACGCGCGCUCUCCCAGUUUACAGCUGCUGUGUGUUUUUCAGUUCUCUCUCUGUCUCUGUCUCUCUCUCAGAGGACUAAGGUGCUAGCAGAGCGCAGGCUGAGUGUGUUGAAGUCUCUGCAGGGUCUGGUCACCUCCUCCAGGGGGAGGCGCGAGAGUGAAGCAGUACUAAAGGGGCGCGUGGCGGACGCGAGCCACGCCCCCCUGGAUGACGGCGCAGACUCCGCCUCACAGCCACAGGAACAGCAAGAGGAGGGCGGGAGCUCGGGGUCGAAAGCACAGGAGCCAACAGCGGACAUUCAGAGAGGUGAGAGGCCACACCACCAACUUCCUCGUCACUCAGUUUGGAAGUGACUGUUAACUCUGUGUGUGUGUGUGUGUGUGUGUGUGUGUGUGUGUGUGUGUGUGUGUGUGUGUUUCAGCUCCUGCACUGUCAGUCACAGACUCCAUGUUGUACAGACUGCACGGUGAUAUUAGGAUCUCCAUGACCCUUGACAACCCUGUAAGUCUUUAUUUACACACUCACACACACUCACAUACACUCACACACACACACACUCACUCACACACACACACUCUUCUUCACCAAAAAUGCCAUCAUAAAGCAACACAUACAU
Molecule: long non-coding RNA, 1720 nt
Organism: Electrophorus electricus (electric eel)
Lineage: Eukaryota; Metazoa; Chordata; Actinopteri; Gymnotiformes; Gymnotidae
Source: Ensembl